This 111-nucleotide small nuclear RNA is filed under the name Sus scrofa (pig). Lineage: Eukaryota; Metazoa; Chordata; Mammalia; Artiodactyla; Suidae. The record is from RNAcentral.
CUUUGGCACCAUAUAUACAAAGAAAAAAAAAAAAAGGGAACGAUAUAGAGAAGAUUAGCAUGGACCCUGAGCAAGCAUGACAUGCAAAUUUGUGAAGCAUUCCAUUUUUUU